AGUGCCGUAUUGUUGAGUUUUGUAUGAACUAAUCUUGCUUCAGUCACAAAAAAAGAAAAGAAAGAAAGACCUACGGCUUGGACAAAAAAGUCUAUAGCCCAGUGCAUUCCCAGCUCCCUGUACACUCAGUCACAGACAGGCAGAGCGAGGAAACGCUAGUACUGGUGCUCGGGCUCUCCUCUGGUUCUCCUUGGCUUACUGUUCUGAUCCUUGGAGGUGUGUGUGUGCAAGUGUACGUUUAGGCCUUGAGAAAGAAAGCAGUAGCUGGAAAGAUGCGCGCAGAGAGAGAAUGAGAAAGCGAAAGAGAGAGGAAGCGGAGAGAAGCGGAGAGAGAGCGGGCAGCGGAGCGCGGCUUGGCCGGGAGAGGAGCACCGGAGGGCGGCUACGGCUCACAGGAUUCCCCGUUGUACCAGUGGAGGAUGUUUAAUGGAUGCUCCGUGCUGACGGACUGAGUGAUUGCAGCGCUUAAAAGUUUUUGAGAAGAAUAGAAAACAUUGAAGACGCGCGAGACCAGGUCACUACAGUCUCGAUUAGACCCGGAUGCAGAAACGGUGCUGCAGCUGAUUUACCUGCAACAGGUGGUGAGCGCGUGGCUUUUACUAAAAUACCUCAUCAUGGCUUUUAUCCGAGCGCCAUUUGCUAUUUGUUUUAAAGAAAAGAAACAAAGUAAAAGAGAAGUGUAUUUGUGUGAUGUGUGGUGAGAUUUUAAAGGCCUUGUGAUCAUGGAUGAAAUUUUGCGCAAAAUGUUAAGUGCAAUGUUUGAAAAGUUGUGGAUGCUAUUAGGGGGCGGGGCUUAGCGGCGUCGCGUUUUAAUACCGUUUCAUGCCUCCUUUUUUCUUUUUUUGCGUGAUCCUUUUUAUAUGUUAAGAUGUAAACACAGCUUUGCGUUUGUCCACUUUUCUCAAAGGUGGAUUUAUUUAGCAUGCGAAAAAAAUGUAGUGUGAAUUUUUUUAAAUGAAUUUUUAAUGUUAUUUACAAGUCUUUAAAAAUAAUUAGAUCACAUAUUUAUUAUUGGUUGUAUUCAAAGAAAAAAUGUAAGUUAAUAGUUUGUUACCUUUAUUUUAUUACUGCACUAGAUUGGGUUAAAAUAGGACAAAUUAUUAUUAUUAUUAUUAUUAUUAUUAUUAUUAUUAUUAUUAUUGUUGUUGUUGUUGUUGUUGUUGUUGUUGUUGUUGUUGUAGCUCUAAUUCUUGCUUUUGUUUUUUUUUUCUUUUAAAAUCAUUUAGCAAAUUGUUUAAUAUUUUGCUUUUGUUGUUUAGUAAUAGGCUAUUGUUGUUUGCUGUUUCUGAGAGCCUGGUGUGUUUGUGUGUGUGUGUGUGUGUGUGUGUGUGUGUGUGUGUGUGUGUGUAUGUGUAUGAGCAGGAAAAAGGAGGGAAGCAACUUGAGAAACUAGGCUAAUGAUUUUCUUCUUCCCUGCACUCCCUCCCCUCCUUUUACCUGCCCCCUCUUGGGCGAGGGGCAGUUGAUGUGGUGGGAGGGGCAGUUAGUGGGGUUAAGGUUAGUGAUUACUGCGGUUGAUGGGGUGGUUAGCAGGGUGAGGGGCAGAAAGUGGGGUGAGGGGGUAGCUAGUUGGGUGGAGGGGGUGGAUAGAUUUUGAAUGCUUAUUCCGGUUAGUGAGGGUAAUUUGUGUGGAGGUGGGUGGCAGUUGGGGGGAGGGGGGGUAUUCAGUGAGCUUGGAUGGAUAGAUUUUUGGGUCUCCAAAAUGCCUUGUGUGUGUGUGUGUGUGUGUGUGUGUGUGUGUGUGUGUGUGUGUGUGUGUGUGUGUUAAUCAUGACAGUUACUGAAUAGAUGAUAUAAUCAUGAUGAUAAAAAUUUCUUACAAUAUUCUCCAGGUUUAAAAAAAAAAAAAAAAAAAAAAAAAGGAUUGGUAAAAGGAUUAAAUGGAAGCAAUUUUUAAAAACUUGAAAUGUACGGAUAAAAAUGCAAUAAAUAUAUUUUUAAAAUUAAAUAUUACACUAAGACAUUCAGAUAGAUGUUAAUAUGUUACAGUAAUUAGAGAUGAGUGUAGUAAAAUAUUUAUUUAUUUACUCUUCUGUCUCACCCUUGAUGCAUUUUGCUGAUUGUGAUUUAAAUAAAUUUGGGUUGCUAAUUAUUUUCUUUAAUUUCUUCACUUUUCUUUUUGCUAUUAUUUAUUUAAUGGUUCAUCUCUGUUCUCACCUCUUUGACCCAUGUCACCACGCAUUUAAACACACAAACCCUUUUUGUGUUUUAUUUUUUCAUUCAUGUGAUAUUAAUGGCAUUAUGGCAGUCCAGUGUAUAACACACACACACACACACACACACACACACACACACACACACACACACACACGCGCGCGCGCACAUACCUUCUGUACCUCUCCUCUUUAAUUCCCUCCAUCACAGUGUAAAUCUGCGUCUCUUAAUUAUUUAAUCAGGUCAAAAACACUUUCCUUUCUGUUAACACAUGACAAUACGAAUCAGAUUACUUCCAGAUUUCAGGAAUUUUUCAUUGGACGUGAGCAGCAAAAAAAGUCUUUAUUUAAAUGUUUUUUUCUGCAUUAAUAUUAUUUAUUUUUGUUGUUAUCAACAUGUACUUCACAAUUUGCUUCCUUUACAUUGGACAUAACAGAAUUUGAGCUCUGAUACUGAUUUUCAACAUAAAAAAGUAAAAUAUUGAGCUCUUUUUAGCUCAGAUUGUAAGUUAACACCCCCAUCCCAUUUAUUUUCAUUAUUUAACCAAAGUUGUUGUGAUUUUGUGAUUAAAAUGCAGUUUAAUAGUUAUGUUGUCAAAUAUAAAAGAUUUUAAUUAUA
Molecule: long non-coding RNA, 2772 nt
Organism: Ictalurus punctatus (channel catfish)
Lineage: Eukaryota; Metazoa; Chordata; Actinopteri; Siluriformes; Ictaluridae
Exons: 4
Source: RefSeq, a predicted model, not a curated record